GGACGGGCCACGUUGGCGAUCCGCGUAUGCGCGAUCGGACGGUCCAGAUCAAGUGUGCUAUCGGACGGCCCAUAUUCAAUCAAAAACGGACGGCCAUAUUAAAUCAAAAUGGACGGCUGAGAUCAAAAGGCAAAAGGGUAUAAAUAAGACUCCCACACCAGACCACAAAACCCUAGCCGCCUGCCAUCGCCGGAGAAGACGAACCAGAAGCCGGCCGCCGCCACCCGCCGCCGCACCGGAGAGAUUUUCGAUCGCCGAUCGAGGUAAAUUUCAUACCCCGACUCGUUUUUCCACGCUAAUUUUUCCUGU
RNAcentral lists this long non-coding RNA (309 nucleotides) under Carica papaya (papaya). RNAcentral's name for it is "long non-coding RNA (CPAP_LNC000495)". Lineage: Eukaryota; Viridiplantae; Streptophyta; Magnoliopsida; Brassicales; Caricaceae. The record is from RNAcentral.